Molecule: transfer RNA, 66 nt
Filed under: Epicypta sp. WQY004
Lineage: Eukaryota; Metazoa; Arthropoda; Insecta; Diptera; Mycetophilidae
Description: tRNA-Tyr
Source: RNAcentral
GAUUAAAUGGCCGAUAAUAGGUAAUAAACUGUAAAUUUAUUUAUAAGAAAUUUUUCUUUUUAAUCA